AAAAGCAUUCACAAACCAGUUCUUCCCUGAAGGAAAGAAGUCUUCCCUUCUCAAGGCCUGAAAUCAGAAGAGUGGAAACAGCCAUAAAAUCUAAAGCUUUCUGGGGCGAAUCUGACGACAGCAGCUCCGAGAUUGAGGCAGCUCUGCGCCCACAAACCGGCAGCCCCGAGGCAGACGACUUUGAUGACUUCUAUGAUUAAAAUUCCCCUGCUCACCUUUGGGAAGAAACAAACAAUUUCAUCCAGUACAGAGCGAGAGUGCUGCUGCCUGAAGUGCAGCUCAUCACUUUACAGUCCAAGAAAAUUUUAAUA
Molecule: long non-coding RNA, 311 nt
Organism: Indicator indicator
Lineage: Eukaryota; Metazoa; Chordata; Aves; Piciformes; Indicatoridae
Exons: 3
Source: RefSeq, a predicted model, not a curated record